Small nucleolar RNA from Pseudophryne corroboree (corroboree frog), 67 nucleotides. RefSeq annotates it as small nucleolar RNA R38. NCBI's taxonomy places the organism in Eukaryota, Metazoa, Chordata, Amphibia, Anura, Myobatrachidae. The transcript has a single exon. The record is from RefSeq and is a predicted model, not a curated record.
GAAAGCCAGUGAUGCUUUGUUAUCCCUGUCUGAAUUAAUGAGGGAAAUAGUACAUUCUGAGGCUUUC